CCUACGGUGGACAGCAGUGAGGAAUAUUGGUCAAUGGGCGAGAGUCUGAACCAGCCAAGUCGCGUGAGGGAGUACUGCCCUAUGGGUUGUAAACCUCUUUUGUCGGGGAGCAAAAGCCGGACGUGUCCGGCUGUGAGAGUACCCGAAGAAAAAGCAUCGGCUAACUCCGUGCCAGCAGCCGCGGUAAUACGGAGGGUGCGCGCGUUAUCCGGUUUUAUUGGGUUUAAGGGGUGCGCAGGCGGAUUUUUAAGUCAGCGGUAAAAUCGUGGGGCUCAACCCCAGACAGCCGUUGAAACUGGGGAUCUAGAGUGUGCGAGAGGUAUGCGGAAUGCGUGGUGUAGCGGUGAAAUGCAUAGAUAUCACGCAGAACCCCGAUGGCGAAGGCAGCAUACCGGUGCACAACUGAGGCUCAGGCACGAAAGCGUGGGUAUCGAACAGGAUUAGAUACCCUUGUAGUC
RNAcentral lists this ribosomal RNA (458 nucleotides) under uncultured bacterium. Its description in RNAcentral is "partial 16S ribosomal RNA". It matches the Rfam family "Bacterial small subunit ribosomal RNA", at positions 338 to 795 of the family's 1533-position model. The record is from RNAcentral.